UUCGGGGUACUCGAGUGGCGAACGGGUGAGUAACACGUGGGUGAUCUGCCCUGCACUUUGGGAUAAGCCUGGGAAACUGGGUCUAAUAGCGAAUAGGACCACGCGCUUCAUGGUGUGUGGUGGAAAGCUUUUGCGGUGUGGGAUGGGCCCGCGGCCUAUCAGCUUGUUGGUGGGGUAAUGGCCUACCAAGGCGACGACGGGUAGCCGGCCUGAGAGGGUGACCGGCCACACUGGGACUGAGAUACGGCCCAGACUCCUACGGGAGGCAGCAGUGGGGAAUAUUGCACAAUGGGCGCAAGCCUGAUGCAGCGACGCCGCGUGAGGGAUGACGGCCUUCGGGGUUGUAAACCUCUUUCAAUAGGGACGAAGCGNGAGUGACGGUACCUAUAGAAGAAGCACCGGCCAACUACGUGCCAGCAGCCGCGGUAAUACGUAGGGUGCGAGCGUUGUCCGGAAUUACUGGGCGUAAAGAGCUCGUAGGUGGUUUGUCGCGUUGUUCGUGAAAACUCACAGCUUAACUGUGGGCGUGCGGGCGAUACGGGCAGACUAGAGUACUGCAGGGGAGACUGGAAUUCCUGGUGUAGCGGUGGAAUGCGCAGAUAUCAGGAGGAACACCGGUGGCGAAGGCGGGUCUCUGGGCAGUAACUGACGCUGAGGAGCGAAAGCGUGGGGAGCGAACAGGAUUAGAUACCCUGGUAGUCCACGCCGUAAACGGUGGGUACUAGGUGUGGGUUCCUUCCUUGGGAUCCGUGCCGUAGCUAACGCAUUAAGUACCCCGCCUGGGGAGUACGGCCGCAAGGCUAAAACUCAAAGGAAUUGACGGGGGCCCGCACAAGCGGCGGAGCAUGUGGAUUAAUUCGAUGCAACGCGAAGAACCUUACCUGGGUUUGACAUGCACAGGACGCCGGCAGAGAUGUCGGUUCCCUUGUGGCCUGUGUGCAGGUGGUGCAUGGCUGUCGUCAGCUCGUGUCGUGAGAUGUUGGGUUAAGUCCCGCAACGAGCGCAACCCUUGUCCUAUGUUGCCAGCGGGUUAUGCCGGGGACUCGUAGGAGACUGCCGGGGGUCAACUCGGAGGAAGGUGGGGAUGACGUCAAGUCAUCAUGCCCCUUAUGUCCAGGGCUUCACACAUGCUACAAUGGCCGGUACAAAGGGCUGCGAUGCCGUGAGGUGGAGCGAAUCCUUUCAAAGCCGGUCUCAGUUCGGAUCGGGGUCUGCAACUCGACCCCGUGAAGUCGGAGUCGCUAGUAAUCGCAGAUCAGCAACGCUGCGGUGAAUACGUUCCCGGGCCUUGUACACACCGCCCGUCACGUCAUGAAAGUCGGUAACACCCGAAGCCGG
RNAcentral lists this ribosomal RNA (1338 nucleotides) under Mycobacterium sp. DWMJ-1503A1. RNAcentral's name for it is "bacterial SSU rRNA". It matches the Rfam family "Bacterial small subunit ribosomal RNA", at positions 81 to 1430 of the family's 1533-position model. Lineage: Bacteria; Bacillati; Actinomycetota; Actinomycetes; Mycobacteriales; Mycobacteriaceae. The record is from RNAcentral.